RNAcentral lists this unclassified non-coding RNA (240 nucleotides) under soil metagenome. Its description in RNAcentral is "partial contains 5.8S ribosomal RNA, internal transcribed spacer 2, and large subunit ribosomal RNA". The record is from RNAcentral.
AACAUCGCGCACCUGCGGGAACCUGCGGAGGGAUCAUUACAGAGUUGCAAAACUCCCUAAACCAUUGUGAACGUUACCUAAACCGUUGCUUCGGCGGGCGGCCCGGGUCCUUCCCGGCGCCCAUCGGCCCUCGCGGGCGCCCGCCGGAGGUAAACCAAACUAUUGCAUUGUAUGGCCUCUCUGAGUCUUCUGUACUGAAUAGGUCAAAACUUUUAACAACGGAUCUCAGAUCGGAAGAGC